RNAcentral lists this ribosomal RNA (429 nucleotides) under uncultured bacterium. RNAcentral's name for it is "partial 16S ribosomal RNA". It matches the Rfam family "Bacterial small subunit ribosomal RNA", at positions 338 to 795 of the family's 1533-position model. The record is from RNAcentral.
CCUACGGGUGGCUGCAGUCGAGAAUCUUCGGCAAUGGACGAAAGUCUGACCGAGCGACGCCGCGUGCGGGAUGAAGGCCUUCGGGUUGUAAACCGCUGUCGUAGGGGAACGUGAUCCUAGGAGGAAGGGGAGGCUAAGCUCGGCCAGCAGCCGCGGUAAGACGAGCUCCCCAAACGUUAUUCGGUAUCACUGGGCUUAAAGAGUUCGUAGGCGGUCUGGUAGGUGAGGUGUGAAAUCCCCCGGCUCAACCGGGGAACUGCGCUUCAAACCACUAGACUUGAGGGAGACAGAGGUGGGCGGAACAGAUGGUGGAGCGGUGAAAUGCGUUGAUAUCAUCUGGAACACCGGUGGCGAAAGCGGCCCACUGGGUUUUCUGACGCUGAGGAACGAAAGCUAGGGUAGCGAACGGGAUUAGAUACCCCUGUAGUC